This 85-nucleotide transfer RNA is filed under the name Blastopirellula marina. Its description in RNAcentral is "tRNA-Tyr". It matches the Rfam family "tRNA". Rfam says of the family: Transfer RNA (tRNA) molecules are approximately 80 nucleotides in length. Their secondary structure includes four short double-helical elements and three loops (D, anti-codon, and T loops). Further hydrogen bonds mediate the characteristic L-shaped molecular structure. tRNAs have two regions of fundamental functional importance: the anti-codon, which is responsible for specific mRNA codon recognition, and the 3' end, to which the tRNAs corresponding amino acid is attached (by aminoacyl-tRNA synthetases). tRNAs cope with the degeneracy of the genetic code in two manners: having more than one tRNA (with a specific anti-codon) for a particular amino acid; and 'wobble' base-pairing, i.e. permitting non-standard base-pairing at the 3rd anti-codon position. Lineage: Bacteria; Pseudomonadati; Planctomycetota; Planctomycetia; Pirellulales; Pirellulaceae. The record is from RNAcentral. RNAcentral also lists the same sequence under 1 other name.
GGGGGGUUUCCCGAGCGGUCAAAGGGGACAGACUGUAAAUCUGUUGGCAUUGCCUUCACAGGUUCGAAUCCUGUACCCCCCACUA